CGGGGAGGUAGUGACGAAAAAUAACGAUACGGGACUCAUCCGAGGCCCCGUAAUCGGAAUGAGUACACUUUAAAUCCUUUAACGAGGACCAAUUGGAGGGCAAGUCUGGUGCCAGCAGCCGCGGUAAUUCCAGCUCCAAUAGCGUAUAUUAAAGUUGUUGCGGUUAAAAAGCUCGUAGUUGAAUCUGUGUGUCACGGUGUCGGUUCACCGCUCGCGGUGCUUAACUGACAUUACGUGGUACGUCCUAUCGGUGGGCUUAGCUCCUUGCGGGCGGUCCAACUAAUAUCCCAUCGCGGUGCUCUUUACCGGGUGUCGAGGUGGGCCGAUACGUUUACUUUGAACAAAUUAGAGUGCUUAAAGCAGGCUACCUUCGCCUGAAUAUUCUGUGCAUGGAAUAAUGGAAUAGGACCUCGGUUCUAUUUUGUUGGUUUUCGGAACCCCGAGGUAAUGAUUAAUAGGGACAGAUGGGGGCAUUCGUAUUGCGACGUUAGAGGUGAAAUUCUUGGAUCGUCGCAAGACGGACAGAAGCGAAAGCAUUUGCCAAAAAUGUUUUCAUUAAUCAAGAACGAAAGUUAGAGGUUCGAAGGCGAUCAGAUACCGCCCUAGUUCUAACCAUAAACGAUGCCAGCUAGCGAUCCGCCGAAGUUCCUCCGAUGACUCGGCGGGCAGCUUCCGGGAAACCAAAGCUUUUGGGUUCCGGGGGAAGUAUGGUUGCAAAGCUGAAACUUAAAGGAAUUGACGGAAGGGCACCACCAGGAGUGGAGCCUGCGGCUUAAUUUGACUC
This 784-nucleotide ribosomal RNA is filed under the name Euglossa piliventris. RNAcentral describes it as "SSU rRNA". It matches the Rfam family "Eukaryotic small subunit ribosomal RNA", at positions 457 to 1201 of the family's 1831-position model. The record is from RNAcentral. Lineage: Eukaryota; Metazoa; Arthropoda; Insecta; Hymenoptera; Apidae. RNAcentral also lists the same sequence under 1 other name.